RNAcentral lists this long non-coding RNA (815 nucleotides) under Oreochromis niloticus (Nile tilapia). RNAcentral's name for it is "lncRNA (ENSONIG00000039121.1)". Lineage: Eukaryota; Metazoa; Chordata; Actinopteri; Cichliformes; Cichlidae. The record is from RNAcentral.
AUGAGGCCUGCGGCAGCCUUACGUCUUAACCUAAUUUCAUGGUCUGUGGGUUUGGAUGGAUGGCUCUGCUGCAACCUUUACACCGAGGGGAGGAGAGAGAGUGCCGUGAGUGUGUAUGGCGCGCGCAUGUGUGUGAGCAUCUGUGUGAGUGUACACUUACACAAUAGCACAAUUGUGGAAGAGCAAAGAAGAAAGAGAGAGACAGGAUGCACCGCUACAAUAGCACAGAGAAUUGUAGUCAGUGGCAGAUAUUAACCUUUUAACCUUGUACUUUCUGUUAACAAAAAUACAUUAAGCUCCCCUGGAUUGCUGACAGCGAAUUGGGGUUUUACAGACUUUGACUGAGCAUGACUGAAUGAUGAGGUGGACCUAUUUUGUGGUAAUGCACUUCAAUUACAGAAGCAAGUCUGCUAAAAACACAUAAGCUCAAGCAAGAUACAUUAGGGAAUUUGGUAACGGCAAAUUAUUCCUGUUGUUGAUCUGAAUGACAUAUGAACUACGCCCGACUGGAAAAGCUGGAGCAGGGAAAACAAUGCUGCUGAGAGCAAACAACAUUACAUACAGAGCAGCGGAUAAACUUUAACGAUCCCAAACAGAAUUAGUCACUGAUUGUCGUUGAUUAGAUAACAGGUAUUUUCAAGUAGGUGCGAUUAUUUAUGGGGUCAGCGUAACAGCUCGGUGUGUUCUUAAGCAAAAUGUCAACAUUGCCCUUUUAGUUUGUCCGAGUAUCUUUUGGUGUGACGGCUUAUUUAGCCAAACCAUGCAUGACACCAAUUAUACUGGAGGGAAAUCGAUUCCAACAAAGCUCUCUGCUU